Molecule: ribosomal RNA, 379 nt
Filed under: Ceroxys edwardsii
Lineage: Eukaryota; Metazoa; Arthropoda; Insecta; Diptera; Ulidiidae
Description: eukaryotic LSU rRNA
Rfam family: Eukaryotic large subunit ribosomal RNA
Source: RNAcentral
UAAUCUUAUCUGGUAAAGCGAAUGAUUAGAGGCCUUAGGGUCGAAACGAUCUUAACCUAUUCUCAAACUUUAAAUGGGUAAGAACCUCACCUUUCUUGAUAUGAAGGUUGAGGUUAUGAUAUAAUGUGCCCAGUGGGCCACUUUUGGUAAGCAGAACUGGCGCUGUGGGAUGAACCAAACGUAAUGUUACGGUGCCCAAAUUAACAACUCAUACAGAUACCAUGAAAGGCGUUGGUUGCUUAAAACAGCAGGACGGUGGACAUGGAAGUCGUAAUCCGCUAAGGAGUGUGUAACAACUCACCUGCCGAAGCAACUAGCCCUUAAAAUGGAUGGCGCUUAAGUUGUAUACCUAUACAUUACCGCUAAAGUAUAUGAUUUA